Molecule: ribosomal RNA, 253 nt
Filed under: uncultured bacterium
Lineage: Bacteria
Description: partial 16S ribosomal RNA
Rfam family: Bacterial small subunit ribosomal RNA
Source: RNAcentral
UACGAAGGGUGCAAACGUUGCUCGGAAUUAUUGGGCGUAAAGCGCACGUAGGCGGCUUAGCAAGUCGGAAGUGAAAUCCCUCGGCUCAACCAAGGAAGUGCUUUCGAAACUGCUGAGCUUGAGUACUUAAGAGGAUCGCGGAAUUCCCGGUGUAGAGGUGAAAUUCGUAGAUAUCGGGAGGAACACCGGUGGCGAAGGCGGUUCUCUGGGCCUUACCUGACGCUGAGGAGCGAAAGCGUGGGGAGCGAACAGG